GCUCCGGUAGUAUAGCCCGGACAAGUAUGCGGGCCUUUCGAGCCCGUGACCCGGGUUCGAAUCCCGGCCGGAGCA
This 75-nucleotide transfer RNA is filed under the name Nitrososphaeria archaeon. RNAcentral's name for it is "tRNA-Glu". It matches the Rfam family "tRNA". Rfam says of the family: Transfer RNA (tRNA) molecules are approximately 80 nucleotides in length. Their secondary structure includes four short double-helical elements and three loops (D, anti-codon, and T loops). Lineage: Archaea; Thermoproteati; Nitrososphaerota; Nitrososphaeria. The record is from RNAcentral.